UUGCUUUGGCAGCACAUAUCCUAAAACUCAAACGAUACACAGAAGACUGGCAUGGCCCCUAUGUGAGGAUGACACACAAAUUCACAGAGCAUUCUAUAUAUUU
This is a small nuclear RNA of Nycticebus coucang (slow loris), 103 nucleotides long. Lineage: Eukaryota; Metazoa; Chordata; Mammalia; Primates; Lorisidae. The record is from RefSeq and is a predicted model, not a curated record.